GAUUCUCUAUAUACAUAUAUUGGCCAAUCAGUUUCUGCAUUUUGCCCAUAUUUUCUGCAAAAUAUUAAGCACAAUCUUGGCUCUUGUGAUGGUUUAAGUUCAUAGGUUUAUGCACAUUUAUAUUCUGUCCAAUUGUUUAGAAUUUUGGUUAUGGUCACAGAAGUUGCUUAUCCUAAUUGAUAUGAACCCAAUCAGAGCUUAACCUGGACCCAUUUCACAGACUAGAUCACAAACUCUAACCUGUCCUGCUCUCCUGCACUAAAGAUUCAAGUACAGCCUAUGUCAACUUUAAAUAAAAUUCUGGACCUGCUUGAUCUUUGUGCUUGUCAUACCUUACCCCUCUGUAACGCAUAACAUGAUCCCGUAGAAUA
Molecule: unclassified non-coding RNA, 371 nt
Filed under: Hevea brasiliensis (rubber tree)
Lineage: Eukaryota; Viridiplantae; Streptophyta; Magnoliopsida; Malpighiales; Euphorbiaceae
Source: RNAcentral